Molecule: ribosomal RNA, 510 nt
Filed under: uncultured bacterium
Lineage: Bacteria
Description: bacterial SSU rRNA
Rfam family: Bacterial small subunit ribosomal RNA
Source: RNAcentral
AGAUUGAACGCUGGCGGCGUGCUUAACACAUGCAAGUCGAACGUGAAAGGGGCUUCGGCCCUAAGUAAAGUGGCGCACGGGUGAGUAACACGUGGAUAAUCUGCCCUUAUGAUCGGGAUAACAGUCGGAAACGGCUGCUAAUACCGGAUACGCUCAAAAUGAACUUUUUGAGGAAAGGUGACCUCUGCUUGCAAGUUACUGCAUGAGGAUGAGUCCGCGGCCCAUUAGCUAGUUGGUAGGGUAACGGCCUACCAAGGCAACGAUGGGUAGCCGAUUUGAGAGGAUGAUCGGCCACACUGGGACUGAAACACGGCCCAGACUCCUACGGGAGGCAGCAGUGGGGAAUAUUGCGCAAUGGGCGAAAGCCUGACGCAGCGACGCCGCGUGAGGGAAUGAAGGUUUUCGGAUCGUAAACCUCUGUCAGAAGGGAAGAAACCGCACCGUGCUAAUCAGCGGUGCAUUGACGGUACCUUCAAAGGAAGCACCGGCUAACUCCGUGCCAGCCGCCGC